Molecule: ribosomal RNA, 253 nt
Filed under: uncultured bacterium
Lineage: Bacteria
Description: partial 16S ribosomal RNA
Rfam family: Bacterial small subunit ribosomal RNA
Source: RNAcentral
UACGUAGGGUGCAAGCGUUGUCCGGAAUUAUUGGGCGUAAAGAGCUCGUAGGCGGUUUGUUGCGUCGGCUGUGAAAUCCCGAGGCUCAACCUCGGGUCUGCAGUCAAUACGAGCAAACUAGAGUGUUGCAGGGGAGACUGGAAUUCCUGGUGUAGCGGUGAAAUGCGCAGAUAUCAGGAGGAACACCGGUGGCGAAGGCGAGUCUCUGGGCAACAACUGACGCUGAGGAGCGAAAGCGUGGGGAGCGAACAGG